GUAGGUGGCAAGCGUUGUCCGGAAUUAUUGGGGCGUAAAGCGCGCGCAGGCGGUUCUUUAAGUCUGAUGUGAAAGCCCACGGGCUCAACCGUGGAGGGUCAUUGGAAACUGGAGAACUUGAGUACAGAAGAGGAAAGCGGAAUUCCACGUGUAGCGGUGAAAUGCGUAGAGAUGUGGAGGAACACCAGUGGCGAAGGCGGCUUUCUGGUCUGUAACUGACGCUGAGGCGCGAAAGCGUGGGGAGCAAACAGGAUUAGAUACCCUGGUAGUCACGCCGUAAACGAUGAGUGCUAAGUGUUAGGGGGUUUCCGCCCCUUAGUGCUGCAGCUAACGCAUUAAGCACUCCGCCUGGGGAGUACGGCCGCAAAGGCUG
RNAcentral lists this ribosomal RNA (373 nucleotides) under uncultured organism. RNAcentral's name for it is "partial 16S ribosomal RNA". It matches the Rfam family "Bacterial small subunit ribosomal RNA", at positions 527 to 896 of the family's 1533-position model. The record is from RNAcentral.